GACUUUAUACAUUCCAGCUUACAGAGCAUGCUGUGGUGGAAUGACGGUUUACAAUCCGGCUUACAGAAAAUGCUGUGGAGGGGUUGUCACACCCAGUUGCUAAGCAGCGAAAACGUGGCCACCUAUCUGUUGCUUUUUCAAUUUCAGAAAAUUAAAAAAUCAGGAAAAUUUCUUACUUUUAAUUGUUUUUAUACCACAACAUUGAAAUGUUCUCGCAUUAAAGAUGAUUGCUAGAACCUUUU
RNAcentral lists this long non-coding RNA (242 nucleotides) under Mytilus galloprovincialis (Mediterranean mussel). The record is from RNAcentral. Lineage: Eukaryota; Metazoa; Mollusca; Bivalvia; Mytilida; Mytilidae.